AGAGUUUGAUCAUGGCUCAGAGCGAACGCUGGCGGCAGGCCUAACACAUGCAAGUCGAACGAACUCUUCGGAGUUAGUGGCGGACGGGUGAGUAACACGUGGGAACGUGCCUUUAGGUUCGGAAUAACUCAGGGAAACUUGUGCUAAUACCGAAUGUGCCCUUCGGGGGAAAGAUUUAUCGCCUUUAGAGCGGCCCGCGUCUGAUUAGCUAGUUGGUGAGGUAAAGGCUCACCAAGGCGACGAUCAGUAGCUGGUCUGAGAGGAUGAUCAGCCACAUUGGGACUGAGACACGGCCCAAACUCCUACGGGAGGCAGCAGUGGGGAAUCUUGCGCAAUGGGGCGAAAGCCUGACGCAGCCAUGCCGCGUGAAUGAUGAAGGUCUUAGGAUUGUAAAAUUCUUUCACCGGGGACGAUAAUGACGGUACCCGGAGAAGAAGCCCCGGCUAACUUCGUG
Molecule: ribosomal RNA, 454 nt
Filed under: uncultured bacterium
Lineage: Bacteria
Description: bacterial SSU rRNA
Rfam family: Bacterial small subunit ribosomal RNA
Source: RNAcentral